Molecule: ribosomal RNA, 245 nt
Filed under: uncultured bacterium
Lineage: Bacteria
Description: partial small subunit ribosomal RNA
Rfam family: Bacterial small subunit ribosomal RNA
Source: RNAcentral
AGAAUCAACGCUGGCGGCGUGCCUAACACAUGCAAGUCGCACGAGAAAGGGACUUCGGUCCUGAGUAAAGUGGCGCACGGGUGAGUAACACGUGAAUCAUCUACCUCCGAGUGGGGAAUAACCUAGAGAAAUCUGGGCUAAUACCGCAUAACACUUACGAGUCAAAGCAGCAAUGCGCUUGGAGAGGAGUUCGCGGCAGAUUAGUUAGUUGGCGGGGUAAUGGCCCACCAAGUCAGUGAUCUGUA